CCUCCAGCUGUUUUGGGACUACAAUUCCCACCAUCCCUGACCACUGGUCCUGUUAGCUAGAGAUGAAGGGAGUUGUAGUCCCAAAACAGCUGGAGG
Podarcis lilfordi (Lilford's wall lizard) is the source of this 96-nucleotide non-coding RNA. Lineage: Eukaryota; Metazoa; Chordata; Lepidosauria; Squamata; Lacertidae. The record is from the annotation of a GenBank genome assembly.